GCCUUGUUGUUAUUUUUGUCUGAAUGUUUCACCACAGAAACAAUCAGCACGUUUUCCAUCUUUGCAACUUUUUUGAUCAGAAUCAAAAAUAUGCUUGACAAAUGACAAACACUGCAAUUUUCAAACGCUUAAUUGAUAAAGAUUUUUUUUAAUACCGGAAUCGAGUUCGUCGAAAAUGCGGAUUUAUUUUCGACGUGCGGGAAUUUUAUUUUUAUUUUUAUUUUUUGGUUUUGGCAGGUGAGGUGCGGGAAAUUUAUUUUUAUUUUUUUAUUUUAAUUUCGGCAAUUUAGGUGCGGGUUUUCCAAAGAACUACUAAUUAAUUUGGUGUGGCCUUAUAUAUUACCAAACAGACUU
Molecule: long non-coding RNA, 354 nt
Filed under: Mytilus galloprovincialis (Mediterranean mussel)
Lineage: Eukaryota; Metazoa; Mollusca; Bivalvia; Mytilida; Mytilidae
Source: RNAcentral